AUCUGGGCUGAUGGUCUGGGAUGAAAGUGCAAAGUGGAAACUGCUCCAAUCCAGACCGCUCUGAAGGAACCAGCCACGUCCUUCUGGAGGACCGAUUUCCUCAUGGUGACUGGCAAGUCCUCAGCACAAACACACCAUGGAUGAAAAACGGGAAUGCAACCAGACUGCACUGUACAGCAUGGACAUGUGGACAUGUUGAAGGAAUUGUCACAGCUGUACCAAGGCUAACUUCGCUGGCAGGAACCUGCCAUCCCAAGCUCACCAUGGACCCCCCAGCCAAAGCACGUGGACCAGAGCAUGCUACUCCUAAUAGAAAACCACUUGGGUCUGCAGGGGCUGCACCACCACAAUUUUGUUGCAAGAACACAUUUUUGGGAAAAAUUCCACUGAAAUUUUAA
This 398-nucleotide long non-coding RNA is filed under the name Numida meleagris (helmeted guineafowl). RNAcentral's name for it is "lncRNA (ENSNMEG00000011737.1)". The record is from RNAcentral. Lineage: Eukaryota; Metazoa; Chordata; Aves; Galliformes; Numididae.